AUUGAACGCUGGCGGAAUGCUUUACACAUGCAAGUCGAACGGUAGAGGGGGCAACCCCUUGAGAGUGGCGAACGGGUGAGUAAUAUAUCGGAACGUGCCCAGUCGUGGGGAUAACGUAGCGAAAGUUACGCUAAUACCGCAUACGAUCUAAGGAUGAAAGCGGGGGACUCGCAAGAGCCUCGCGCGAUUGGAGCGGCCGAUAUCAGAUUAGGUAGUUGGUGGGGUAAAGGCUCACCAAGCCAACGAUCUGUAGCUGGUCUGAGAGGACGACCAGCCACACUGGAACUGAGACACGGUCCAGACUCCUACGGGAGGCAGCAGUGGGGAAUUUUGGACAAUGGACGCAAGUCUGAUCCAGCCAUUCCGCGUGCAGGAUGAAGGCCCUCGGGUUGUAAACUGCUUUUGUACGGAACGAAAAGGUUUCUAUUAAUACUAGGAGCUCAUGACGGUACCGUAAGAAUAAGCACCGGCUAACUACGUGCCAGCAGCCGCGGU
RNAcentral lists this ribosomal RNA (495 nucleotides) under uncultured bacterium. Its description in RNAcentral is "bacterial SSU rRNA". It matches the Rfam family "Bacterial small subunit ribosomal RNA", at positions 30 to 521 of the family's 1533-position model. The record is from RNAcentral.